This 782-nucleotide ribosomal RNA is filed under the name uncultured Neocallimastigales. RNAcentral describes it as "partial large subunit ribosomal RNA". It matches the Rfam family "Eukaryotic large subunit ribosomal RNA", at positions 23 to 616 of the family's 3401-position model. The record is from RNAcentral. Lineage: Eukaryota; Fungi; Neocallimastigomycota; Neocallimastigomycetes; Neocallimastigales.
ACACGCAUGACACACUGCAUAUCAAUAAGCGGAGGAAAAGAAACUAACAAGGAUUCCCUUAGUAACGGCGAGUGAAGCGGGAAGAGCUCAAAUUUGAAAUCUUCAAGGUUCUACCUUGACGAAUUGUAGUUUAUAGAAGUGUUUUCUGUUAGUAGGAGUGGCAAAAGUUCUUUGGAAUAGGACAUCAUAGAGGGUGAGAAUCCCGUAUUUGGUCAUUCCUUCCUAGCGUUGUGAUACACUUUCAACGAGUCGGAUUGUUUGGGAAUGCAGUCCAAAAUGGGUGGUAAAUUUCAUCUAAAGCUAAAUAUUGGCGAGAGACCGAUAGCGAACAAGUACCGUGAGGGAAAGAUGAAAAGAACUUUGAAAAGAGAGUUAAACAGUACGUGAAAUUGUCAAAAGGGAAGCGUUUGACACCAGUGUUGUUUUUCCGAAAAUCAAUUACGAAUGUUUUAUUUUUGAGGAGUUAUGACUUCAUCGGCUUGCUUCUCUCUUUACUGAAACUUUCUUAAUGCACUUUUCGGUUAACAAGUCAACAUCAAUUUCUUUUGUUGUAAAAGGGUACUGAGGAAGGUGGCUUUCUUUUCGGAGAAAGUGUUUAUAGCCUUGUACCUCUGCAAUCGGAGAGAUUGAGGUCUGCAGCGUAGAUCCUUCGGGGUUAGAUACAUUUGUGCUAAGUUAUAGCCUUUUCAUAGAUCAACUUGUUGACUAUGAUUCAGUCAUUGUAGCUUACUCGCUUAUGCUAUUUUACCUACGCUUAGGAUGUUGAGCGCAUGUCUCUCUCU